AUGGAAGCGCCUCCAAACUUUCUGCCAAAAGAAAAUGACAAGCAUACAUAUUAAUACAAGCUUAAACUCAGAGAAUUUCAGUACUUCAUUAAUGCAGAGGCUCAUGUGGAAAAGGACAAUGUGUUUGGAUUGAAAAAUCUUAACGUUUAGAAUAAAGUCACUGAAUUGACAAAUAACGUUGAAGCAAAUUCCAUAUAUAACAGUGACACUGAGUAACCCCAAUUACCUCAAAUACACAGACACACAUUUGCAAAUUGGCAUCGUGAAAUUGAUAUAUCCAAAGAGGCGUAGACGGCUAUAAAUGGUUCAAUAAACAUUCAAUCUUUUCAAAUGAAGAACAAGUUAAAUUUCGUAGUCGAUCAAUCAAUUGGAAAAGCCAAUUAUAUAGAAGUACACUUAUAAAGGAAAUAAGUUACUCGACAGAUGAUGUUAGAACAACUACUGAUCACUCUUAAGGUCAAAUUCCACCAAAAUUUAAGUAAUCCAUGCACAAUAAAAUGUUAAUGAAAUUAUCUACUACAAAUUUCUUUCCCUAA
RNAcentral lists this unclassified non-coding RNA (536 nucleotides) under Hevea brasiliensis (rubber tree). Lineage: Eukaryota; Viridiplantae; Streptophyta; Magnoliopsida; Malpighiales; Euphorbiaceae. The record is from RNAcentral.